This 154-nucleotide ribosomal RNA is filed under the name uncultured bacterium. RNAcentral describes it as "partial 16S ribosomal RNA". It matches the Rfam family "Bacterial small subunit ribosomal RNA", at positions 355 to 504 of the family's 1533-position model. The record is from RNAcentral.
UGGGGAAUAUUGGACAAUGGGCGCAAGCCUGAUCCAGCCAUGCCGCGUGAGUGAUGAAGGCCUUAGGGUUGUAAAGCUCUUUUGUCCGGGACGCGGUUAGCGUGAAUAGCGCUGACUACUGACGGUACCGGGAGAAUAAGCACCGGCUAACUAC